AACCUCCUCUCUGUUGCUUACAAAAAUGUGAUUGGGGCUAGGAGGGCUUCAUGGAGAAUUAUCUCGUCCAUUGAGCAGAAGGAAGAGAGCAGGGGAAAUGAAGAUCAUGUAGCGAUUAUUAAGGAUUAUAGGGCAACAAUUGAAGCAGAGCUCAGCAAGAUUUGUGAUGGGAUUCUAAGCCUUCUAGAAUCACAUCUUAUUCCCUCAGCCGUAAUUGCUGAGUCUAAGGUGUUUUACCUCAAGAUGAAAGGUGAUUACCACAGGUACCUAGCUGAAUUUAAGACUGGACCUGGUAGGAAAGAGGCUGCAGAGAGCACUUUGUUGGCUUACAAAUCUGCUCAGGUCAGUCAUUACCGUGUUGUGUUUUCAAUUUUGCUCUUUCACAUGCAUGGAUACAUAUAUCAAUUAUUUUUUUCUUUUUUCUUCCCGUAAUAAUAUGUACUGAGUUUCCUUUUUGUUUUUUCUUUUGAUGUAGGACAUUGCUCUUGCUGAACUAGCUCCUACUCACCCAAUAAGGCUGGGGCUUGCUCUUAACUUCUCUGUCUUCUAUUAUGAAAUCCUUAACUCACCAGACCGUGCUUGCAAUCUUGCAAAGCAGGUAAUUUCAUUUAGCUGCUUGUAUCUGUUCUUUUCUCUGUUGUUUGAUGAAUUUCCUUUUUUUUUGGGGUAAUUUUAGAGAGUAUACACACACACACACACACACACGUAUAUCGAUAUAUAGAUACUAAAAAGAUAUAGAUUUUCUAGGCUGAUGACAGGGAUUCAGAAGCUUGAGGUUUUUUUAGAAUUGCUAAAUUCCUACUGGUUUGUACUUUGUAAUUUGAUGGCAUGGUAUAUAAUUUUAUGGAAAUUACUUGUAUUGUACCAUUUCAUGCUCCAUAACAUUGUUAAUGGCUGCUCUUCAAGGUCUACUAGAUGGCCAUUGAUUUGGUUGGAUCAUUUUGAUAAUAAGUUACUUGUAAAUAGCACAUCUUUUUACUUGGUUAUGAAUGCUUCAAUAGUUUGGCUUUGAUUUUGAUUGGGUUAUUUGGAGCCUAGGUUGCUUGUACAAAGGGCACCUUUUAGUUAUGAAUAUUCAACAAUUUGGCUGUGAUUUGACUAUUUCACGUCAUACUAUUUUAGCAAUUUCAUUAUUGGAAUAAUGUAGGUGAAACUUCAAAAUAUUCUCUAGCUUCAAUUUGAGGCUGAUAUUAAGUGUCAUGGUGGCAUGAGAUGGAAUCAGAAUUUCCUUACAAUGCUUAAUUGAGGUGCCAGUACUGGGCUUCUGCAUUUCACUGUGGCUGCUGGCUGACUCACGAAAUAGAUUUUACUUAUCUUAAGCCUGAAAUUUUGAUUUGCUUUUGGGCUAGAAGAAUUGGAUGUGCAGGUCUACAAGGAUCUUUUGAACCUUGACUAGACAAAAUAUCCAUUAUGCUGGACGUUUAGGAUUGUGGCUUAAUCAUUCAUUUUGUUCCUAUCUGACUGGUAAUUCUAUUUGGCAGGCUUUUGAUGAGGCUAUCUCUGAGCUGGAUACGUUAGGUGAAGAGUCAUACAAGGACAGUACAUUGAUCAUGCAACUUCUCCGAGACAACUUGACUCUGUGGACUUCUGAUAUCACGGUCUCUCUCUCUCUCUCUCUAAAGCUAAUUGAUCUGAAUAUAUACCAUAAAAACUGAAGUGGAUGUCAUUUUUUCCUAUCAUCAUUGUUGCUUAUUUUAUUUUAUUUUAUUUCUAUUUUGUACGCUACCCACAAGUUCAACUUGGUUUGGGAGCAAUUUUGAACUGGAUCCCAAGGUCCAGAGCAUUUAAGUCCAUUACUGAGUUGAAUUGAGCUUAAAACAAAUAGGCUCAAUUAAGACCUAUCCAAGAUUAAAAUUAUUGAUCUCAACCUUACCAAGGCCAAUUAAGUUUCUACAUUUUGCGUGCAUUGCCUAAUAGUAUUAGAAAUUCGUUUGUGUUCUUCAUUUUCUAGCCUAUCAGCAGAUCGAGAAUUCCGGCUUGUUUCUCCAUCUGUGAGCCUACCAAUAGAAGGAUUUUUAAUUAAAUAAUAAAUCAAUCAUAACUGAUCGAUAGCUCGAGUAACAGUUUUUACUGAUCUAGGUUGCACCUUGUUAUUUUCAUAUGGGUGGAUGCAUCUGUGUUUCUCUGCUAUGAACCUUUCCUCUCUAAGCUUCACUGCUCCUUUGCUUAUUGUAUUUUGUCAAUUUGGUUUCAGGAUGAUGCUGGAGAUGACAUCAAGGAAGCAUCAAAGCGUGAAUCAGGGGAAGGGCAGCCGUGAUGAAUUCAUCAUAGAAGAUGUGCUCUGUACUAUUCAGUCUGUGACCCUAAUAUAGAUG
RNAcentral lists this long non-coding RNA (2315 nucleotides) under Vitis vinifera (wine grape). RNAcentral describes it as "long non-coding RNA (VVIN_LNC004756)". The record is from RNAcentral. Lineage: Eukaryota; Viridiplantae; Streptophyta; Magnoliopsida; Vitales; Vitaceae.